Molecule: long non-coding RNA, 1623 nt
Organism: Microcebus murinus (gray mouse lemur)
Lineage: Eukaryota; Metazoa; Chordata; Mammalia; Primates; Cheirogaleidae
Source: Ensembl
UUAUAAUGUGUUGACAAGUUUUCUAACAGACUUUCUGAAAUAAUGCACAUAUAUUCACGUCGGCUAGAAACCCACCGUAUUUUUAGUAUUUUUAGAGUCGAGUAGAUCUAUACCCUAAUGCAGUGAGAGAGUGUAAAUCAUACAAGAUUUCAUAGUCCUUUCAGUAGUUUUCGGUAUGAAGUAUGAGCCGCGUGGCCUCCAGACGUAACCUUUUAGAAAAAAAGACAGUGCUUUUAUUUUAUGGUGUAAAGUGCUUUUAGCUCCAGGGCUCUGAACGUGAAUGUGGUCAACAAACAGCUCGAAGAGGGAGACUUAAUACACUCCCAGCCCUCGUGCCGAGGAUCGCCUGGCGCGGGGGACUCGGGCUGAGCUGGAGAAUGAAGGGUUAAAGGGUCUGUCUGGAUGGAAACUACAAGAUUAAAAUAAAAUAUUCACUGUCUGCCUUUAGGGGGAAACACCUUUAUAGACUUAAAGAUAAAUAAAUGAAUCAAUGACUGAGUGAUUGAAAACACAAUCAGCCCCACCUUGCUUUUUAAAUUCAUCCUUUUUCUUUCUUUUCUUUUCUUUUUCUUUUUUAUUUUCCUAAUCAGUCAACAGAUCAUAAAAUAGAGUCAUCUUCAUAAAAAUAAAGCCUAGGUUUUGGAUUCUGCACUUGGCAUAGGUUUUGCAUUUGGGGUUCUUGACAAUGGGAGUGCUAGGGUGUUAAGACAAAGGAAAAAUGAAUUUAAAAUAUUGGGGGUUGUACUUGAAGAAAAGGAUAGACUUCUUUUCCCUCCUCUACUACCGGUGUGACCCAGAGCCCAGAAGGCCCCUGGAGGGCAGUAUCUACUCCUCUGCAAAGGCACAGACUUCCCCCAAGGAGAUUCCUGGGAGAACCAUUAGUCUGGCAUCUUCUCCAGAAGCUUCCUGGGCCUUUAGCUGGCUGGAAGUCUGCUUCAUAUACCUGGAUGGACUCAUCCAAAGAAAAAGGAGAGAAAGGAAUGAAGGAAAAAGCUGCAUCUGCUCUAAGAAAGCAAGCAGAAGAAGAAAAAUCUGGCAUCCAGAACCAAACCAGCCUUGAGUGUCUGGACCAUGUACAGUUUCCACAAAGAAGGUCAAAAAGGGCUGAAAGAAAAGGUGUAUCAAAGGUAUCCUUGGAACUCAGAACCAAUAAAAAUGAAACUAUUCUCUUCUGAGACCUAAUUAACUUUUAUAUCCAAAGGUACACUGCACAUUUGUUCAUUGCUUAUGACAAAGACCAAAACAAUAUAUGUGCCAUGGAACUAGGCUUUUAAAUGAUCUAUUGGGUGGCUUUUCCUUGCCUGUAAGGAAUUUUCUGUUCUUUAGACGCAGUCAUUCAAUGAAUAAGUAAGUCUAUGCUAAUUUUUUUCCCUCAAAACGUUAAGUAUUUUCCUAUAUCUAUUUUCAGGGAAUCAGGGACUUAGUCCUGUAACUUCCAAAAUAUUCCCUUCAAAUCCUAAAACAAAACCCAAACAAAAAUGUUGAGGAAACAAAUUUCAUGCUACAAGCUUUGCAAGGAUUAGUCUCCUAUUAGAGUCACUGUUCCUAUAUGAUCCUUUUUCAUGUUUUAAAGGAGGAUAUAUAUUUUUCUGUUACCUUUCCUGACUGUAAAGCAAUCACAGG